Non-coding RNA from Callithrix jacchus (white-tufted-ear marmoset), 16553 nucleotides. Lineage: Eukaryota; Metazoa; Chordata; Mammalia; Primates; Cebidae. The record is from RefSeq and is a predicted model, not a curated record.
AAGAAUAGCUGCAAGUAACCUUUGGCUCUUAGUAAGUACCACUAUGUUUGAGUAUGUUAGAGCAACUGAAAAGAUUGGUACAUUCAACAUAUUUUUCCUUUCUAAAUCUAGCCCUGCUCACAGACCCAUUUGACUGAGUGAUAUAUUUGGAAAACAAAGAUGGCCCCACCAAAUUACUCAGUUUCAGCCUUACUCUUGCGGAUUGAUUAAAAUAAAGAAGGAAAAAAAGGAAAUAACUUUUAACUGCAGUCUCACCUUACACAUCUCACCAGCACUAUAGUUCAUUAGUGAUCAAUUACUUCAUCCAAUUCCUGAGGCAAACAGAAAAGAUGUGUCUAUACAACACCAGUAACAGACAUUAUCAGCAGCAAACAUUUUAUCAGCCUUAAGUGAAAGGGCAUCUAAAUUUGAAAUGGAAAAAGUUACAAAAAUGGUACAGUGUGUAGCUUUGCAAGUGAGUGUUUCUUUGACCUUAUAACAUUUCCUUUCAGUAAGAUAAAAGAAUAGAUUAUUCCAUGCACUUAAAACUAAAAAACAUAAUAGUUAUCUUUUUCAACCCGGACUGACCUUACUUUCAAAACCAGAAAGAAAUGGAGAGGAAAUUUUAUUAAUAUGCCUUUAAGAAAGAGCUAAAUUAAGAACAAACUAGGCAAGACAGACAACUCCUCCCUCCCCCCCCUCCAGGAAUCCACUGUCUCUGAAGUUACACUUUAUUAUAUUAAUGAUUUGCCUUAAAAGUGUAAGUUGUGAGGGAGAAGGAAUGACAAUUUUUGAACUGCAAACAAAACCUGAGGAUCCUGAUCUAAGAAGAAUCACAGGAGCCUGACUUCCUGCCCUGUCUGAAGGAUUCUCAGCAAAGGCUAGGGUGCAGAAGUCUCCAGUAAUUUGGGGGAGAGGAAUCAAAGUUCCCUAGGUAAGACUGCAGUCUCUGAGCCCUUGAAAAGGGUACUGGAGUACUCUCAAGGAAUCUCCAGGAAAAGAGAGCCAUCUUUAUUUUUGUUGAUGUACUUGUGCGCCAAAGAGCAAUUCCGAGGAGGGGGCGGGGAAAGGGGGGAAGAAAGUGAAUCUCGGGCCGAAAGCCCUCCGCGGGGGAGGGAGGGAGCGCACCCCUGACCCACUUUUUCCGAGGACCCCAGCUCUGGCCUCCGCCCCACCCGGUAGAAGUCCGAGCCCUGAGGUGGGCAUCGAGCGGGGCGUGGGAGGCCCGCACGCUCCCCACCCCCAGCCGCGACCCAGAGGAGGGGAACGUGCAGGGAGGCUCGAGUCCCACUCCCAGAGUGCCCGGGCCGGAGAAACCUCCCGCAGGCUCCCGGGCCCGGCGUGCAAGGCCCCCUCCCCGGCCAGGGCCCAGGGGGCCGUGGCCCCCAGCGGAGGGGACUGGGACUGAGUAGGGGAAGAAGCUGUAAACAGCCCCAGCGUCCGGGCCUCGCCUCGAAGAGCCCCGCUUCCCCGGCCCACAGCCCGCCCCGGGCCCGCCGCGCCCCGGGACCGGGACACCGGAGGGUAGUCGGGUCCCCUCCCUGGAGGGCUCCGGGAGCUCGCGGAGCGGCCCCAGGAGCAGAGAAGGGGGACGUCAAGACUUAACUGUCAUUACUUUCUACGCCAUCUUGGAUCCACUUGUCAACGUCCCCACAAAGCAUUAUGGCCUCCCUGCCCCCACGCCCGGUCUUCUUGACCCGCUGCGCUCCUGCCCGGGCAGACGCCCCGCGUCUGCAUUGAAUCAGCCCGCGGUUUCCCUGCGGCUGGCGGCGCGGAGCAGCUCACGGAUUUAUUUGUGCGCGUGGAUGUGAGCGUUUCUGCUCCUGCGGCCCCGCUUCCAGGAAGCCCGCGGGCAGCCGGGGUCGCCUUCAGGGCCCUGUAGACCAGCUCCGCACUCGCCGGCCGGAGAGGUGCCUCUGGCCCUGGGAAAGCGCCCCGGGGCCGUCGGGCUCCCGGAACUGGGAGGACGGCGCGUCCCCGAGUCCACCAGCGUCGAAGCACGAUUUAAAAAAAAAAAGAAUGAGCCAAAUGCAACUUUUUACCCCUGGUUUACUCAGCCUUCAGCGGUCUCCUCCUCCCGGCGGGUAACGUGAUCCGCGACCCUCUAGGUGGAGACCCCUCCCCUAGGAAUGUGGCUCCGGGCUCCGGGGAUCCCGCCUAGGAGCUUCGGGGCUGUGGACUGUGACUACGGGGCAGGUAAUCGGGGACGUGGGCCCGGGGGGUGGCGCGGAAGCCGCCUGGGCUCGGGGGAGGGUCUUGGGCUGAGAGCAGGGAGCGCCUGUCCGGAUCCACCUGGCGGGUCCCAGUCCAGCGGCAAACUCAGGCGACCCGGCCGGGGGAGAACCCCGGACGCCGCUCCAGCUCGAGAGGCGGGAGGUGGGGACGCCCGGCUUCUCCGGGCUGCGACUUGCAGCGUUGGAAAGUGCGAGUCUCCUCGGCGCGGGCCGGGGUUUCUGAUUCGGGGGAGCACCCCUAGCCUGCCUUCCCCCUGCUGCAGGGCAUCCUCUCCCCGCGACACCGAGCCAGCUUUCGGCUGCUCAGGGCGAGCAGAGAGAGCACUGGCCCCGGGCCCUGACCCGGUCGCCGCCGGUACCCUGGAGCCCCGGCGUCCAGCCGCCCCGGUCCCCCUUGCGAAGGAGAUCCGUUGUCACCCUCCGCCCGAGUUCUUCCCAGAACCUCAGGUCCCUGAUUUUUGCUGUCUUUGGAGGCCUGCUCCAGUUGCUUUUUUUUUUUCCCCCCCCAAGCAAGUUUUUACAACAAGGAGGUGUCCAAAAGAAAAUCCUCCAGAACAGGAAUGCUUGCUAAUUGUAUUCGGUGCAAAAUGCUGUUGAACGGCUCUGCAUUUAAAAGAACGCGCAGGCACCGGCUUUAAAAUCUCCUUUCGGUGCACGGGGAGGGCCUGGGCCUUGGGUCUACCCGAGGGUUUUACGCUCCUCCAGACCCUAUCAGCAGCCUCAGGAGGAACCUGGACAGUGGCAGACGGGAGCCCCGCCCCUGGGGAGCCAAAAACUCCACCAGGCAAUUGUCCCGGUGUGAUGAGAAGAGUGAGGUGUGGACACAUUGAGGGACUGGCCCCGGGUCACUCUCGAGAGAGGGAACGAGGUAAUGAGUCAUUCCCAGCCAAGAAUGCUGCGUUCUGGGGAGCAGCCUCCCCUGAGUCACCCGCUUCUCAGCUCAGAAUGAGUGGAGAAACUGGAGACUGGAGCCAGGUUCUUAGACCACCCAGCUUUGGUAGCCACCAAGGGCACGGGCUAGGCUAGGGGGAGGCGGUGCCCCUCCUGCUGGAAAAAUGGAAUGCUUGGCCUAUCUAAAGAAGGCUCCAACUUCUCUUUCCAGGAGCACCCCGGAUGCUUCUUUUCCAAUUCCUCCUUUGCACUUAUUUAGCCACUGGUAUGCACUGACUCAGUGGUUGUUCAGUUUGCAUGACACCUUUCUGUGUGUAGUCUGAGGUUACUAUUAGGUUAAUGCAAAAGUAAUGGCAAAAGCCACAAUGACUUUUGCACCAACCUAAUAUAAGUAAAAGCAAGUCACUCUGAACACCUGACCUGUGUUACAAGUUCUCUUGUUUGUCUGUUAGUUGUUUCUCAUCUGCCCCGCCCCUAUUAGAGCAUAGGCUCCAUCAGGGCACAGGCCCUGUCUGGCUUAUUUGCCUCAGUGACUAGACCAGGGCCUGGCACCUACAUAGACACUCAGCAAGUUGUUAGUCGAAUACAUGACCAAACUGCUCUCAGGGAUGGGCAUGUUGAUGAAAGGGAGUGCUAGAGCAUGGAGCAAGAUGCUGAGAGCCUUGCCUUACGUCUCUUCAGUCCACCCUGACCACACACAGUUAGAGGCAGGCAGAUGGGAACAGUGCUGUGGGGAAAACAGGUCCCUUGGCCACCGUUGACUUGGCUCAAUGCUGAUUCAGAUCUGAUGAACACGCACGGCCCCAACUAAUCCCUCUGCAUCACAUCCCUCUUCCUUCCCUCAUUUUCUUAUUUCUCCUCUACUCCCCACUAGCCAUGGCUUCUUUUUUUUUUUUUUAAGACGGAGUCUUGCUCUGUUGCCCAGGCUGGAGUGCAAUGGUGUGAUCUCGGCUCACUGCAACCUCCACCUCCUGAGUUCAAGCAAUUCUCCUUUCUCAGCCUCCUGAGUAGCUGGGAUAAUGGGCACCCACCACCACGCCCGGCUAAUUUUUUGUAAUUUUAGUAGAGACAGGGUUUCACCAUCUUGGCCAGGCUGGUCUUGAACUCCUAACUUCAUGAUCCACCCACCUCAGUCUCCCAAAGUGCUGGGAUAACAGGCAUGGGCCGCCACACCCGGCCUUUUUUUUUUUUUUUUUUGAGACCGUGUCUCGCCCUGUUGCCCAGGCUGGAGUGCAGCAGCCCAAUCUUGGCUCACUGCAACCUCUGUUUCCUGGGUUCAAGGGAUUCUCCUGUCUCAGCCUACCAAGUAGCUGGCACCUCCAUGCCCAGAUAAUUUUUGAAUUUUUAGUAGAGACAGGAUUUCACCAUGUUGACCAGGCUGAUCUCAAACUCCUGGCCUCAAGUGAUCUACCCACCAAAGUACUGGGAUAACAAGCUUAAGCCACUGCCCCCGGCCACAAUGCCUUCAUUUUCUGCUGCUUGGAGAGUCUCAAAGCUCAAUUCUUGGGUCUUUGUUCUUCACCUUUACUACCUGAUCAUUUGUUUCAGUCUCAAGGUUUUAAAUACCAUGUUUACCCUGAGGAAGGAGUCCCCAACCUAGAGCUCAAAUCCAGAGCCUUGCCCUGAGCUUCAGACUCUUAUCAACAUCUUGGCAUCUCCACUUGGACAUAUUUUAGACAUCUCAAAGUCAGCAUGUGAAGAACUUAAUUCUUUUUUUUUUUUUUUUUGAGAUGAAGUCUUGCUCUGUCACCCAGGCUGGAGUGCAGUGGCACGAUCUCGACUCACUGCAACCUCUCCCUCCCAGGUUCAAGCAAUUCUCCUGCCUCAGCCCCCUGAGUAACGGACUACAGGCGCCCGCCAACACACCCGGCUAAAUUUCAUAUUUUUAGUAGAGAUGGGUUUCACCAUGUUGGUCAGGCUGGUCUUGAACUCCUGACCUCGUGAUCUGCCUGCCUUGGCCUCCCAAAGUGCUGGGAUUACAGGCAUAAGCCACUUCACCCACACCAAGAACUAAAUUCUUCAGCUCCCCACACAAAUAAUGCUCCAUCGUGGUCUUCCCCAGCUCCAUCACUGGCAACCACAUCCUUAAAAUUGGCCAGGUUACAAUCCCUCCUUUCUCUCAAAUUCCACCUUCAAUCCAUCUGCAAAUCCAUCUAUAAUGUAUCCAUAUCUGAUCACUUCUUACCACCUCCAUGUUUCCACUCUGGUCCAGUCCACCGUUCGCCCACAUCCAGUCUCUUCUCAAGGUAACUGGGCCUGAUAAACUGCAAAGCAAAUCGCAUCACACCUCUCAAUACAAUCUUCUGGCUUCUAUUCAUCUCGUUCAGAGGAAAAACUAGAGUCCUACACAGUCGGCCUCUUCUCAUCUCUCUGACCUCAUCUCCUACCUCUCUGCCUGCUCUGCCCUGCUUCAGCUGUAAUGCAUUCUUUUUUGAGGAUCUGCAUGGCUCACUCUGCUUUGCUCACGCCAGUAAGUCCCUCUCACCAUUCUGUUUAAAAUUACAGUAUUCUUCAACACACACACAAAUUCCAUAUUUCUUCUCAUGCUUUACUUCUUUUCUCCGAAGCAUUUAUUGCCUUUGAACAUAUGUAGUUGAUUCAGUUUCUUAUCUGUCUCUCCUCAUGUGACAGAGUCAGCUUGCCAGUUACCAAAUACUCCUGUUUGCUGCUGGGAACUACAUUUGCCAGAUGUGCCCUGGCAUUUGGCUGGGCCAUGUGAUUCUUGCCAAUGGACAUAGAGCAGAAAUUGGACUCUGAAUGAACACUCAGAAACUGGCUUGGCCAAAACACCUGCACUGGACUCUAAGUUGGGAAGACAAUAUAUCUUUUUUUCCUUUUUUAUAGACAGUUUCACUCUUUUUGCCUAGGCUGGAGUGCAGUGGCACAAUCUCAGCUCACUGCAACCUGGACUCCCUGCAACCUCUGCCUCCCGGGUUCAAAUGAUUUGCCUGCCUCAGCCUCCCAAGUAGCUGGGACUACAGGCACCCACCACCACCCCUGACUAAUUUUUGUAUUAUUAGUAGAGACAGAAUUUCACCACAUUGGUCAAGCUGGUCUGGAGCUCCUGACCUCAGGUGAUCUGCCCGCCUCAGCCUCCAAAAGUGCUGGGAUUAGAGACGUGAGCCACCACCCCUGGCCAAUAGAUCUUUAGGAUGUUAAUCCACAUAGCAUCUAGCACCUCAAUUACAGCACCUUAGUUACUGUGGCCUACUAGAAUGGAAGCUCAGUGAGGGCAUGAAUGGAUGGAUGUAGUGUUCAUUAAUGUCUCUGUCCUCAGUGCUUAGAACAAAGCUUGACAUAUUUUAAGUACUUAAUAAAUAUUUGUUGAAUGAGUAAGUGAACAAAUGAAUGAAUGAAUUCCCUUUUCUACCAUGAAUUCCAAAAUAAGUGAAUGGUUGGAAGGAAGAACACAAAGGAAAAGGAUUAAAUUGUUUUGGAUUUUUUUUUUUGGUGAAAAGUAGAAACUGGAUUUCUAAGAAUCAUUGACUGUAAGGCCUUGAUAAAAAUAGAAUUGCACCUGUAAUCCCAGCACUUUGAGGGGCUGAGGCUGGCAGAUCACUUGAGGUCAGGAGUUCAAGACCAGCCUGGCCAUCAUGGCUAAACACCGUCUCGACCAAAAAUACAAAAAUUAGCCAGGCAUGGUGGCAGGCACCUAUAACCCCAGCUGCUCAGGAGGCUGAGGCAGGAGAACCACUUGAACAUGGGAGGCGGAGGUUGCAGUGAGCCAAGAUUGUGCCACUGCACUCUAGCCUGAACAACAGAGUGAGACUCCAUCUCAAAAAAAAAAGUAAAUGGAAUCCCAUUCUUUAAGUCUUGUUCUGCCCCAUAUUCACCUUUCCUUUUCUUUUUCUUCCUUCCACGUUCUACCACCUCCAUCUCUAUUCCACGCAAGUUCUCCUCACUCCUCCCUUCUUCUUCCCUUUCUCUGAUGGGUUGUCUUCUGUUUUUCCUCCCACUUAAUCUAACAAGAAUUCAUGGCUUAUUAACUUCAGACACUUUGAAUGCUUAGCCACGAUUUCUGUUCCAAGUCAUUUAAAAUAUACUACGGGGAGAUAAUAUGGGUUUAAAAAUAUAGCAAAUGUUGGCUGGGCGCAGUAGCUCACGCCUAUAAUUCCAGCACUUUGGGAGGCUGAGGCGGGCAGCUCAUCUGAGGUCAGGAGUUUGAGACCAGGCUAACCAUCAUGGGGAAACCCCAUCUCUACUAAAAAUACAAAAUUAGCCGGAUGUGGUGGCAGGCACUCGUAAUCCUAGCUACUCGGGAGGCUGAGGCAGGAAUAUCACAUGAACCUGGGAGGCAGAGGUUGCAGUGAGCUGAGAUCACGCCAUUGCAUUUCAGCCUAGGAAACAAGUGAAACUCUGUCUCAAAAUAUAUCAAUAUAUUAUAUAUUAUAUAUAAAUAUAUAUAUUAUAAAUAUAUGUUAUAUAUAAAUUAUAUAAUUAAUAUAUAUAAAACAAAAUGUUAAAUCCUUGGACUCUAACAUUCCUCUUCUACUUUUAAUUCCCCCCCCCUUUUUUUUUUUCUGAGACAAGAGUCUUGCUCUGUCACCCAGGCUGGAGUGCAGUAGAGCAAUCUCGGCUCACUGCAACCUCUGCCUUCCAGGUUUAAGCGAUUCUCCUGCCUCAGCCUCCCAAGUAGCUGGGAUUACAGGCAUCCACCACCACGCCCAACUAAUUUUUUUUUUUUUGUAUUUUUAGUAGAGAUGGGGUUUCACCAUGUUGGCCAGGCUCUUCUCAAACUCCUGACCUCGUGAUCCACCUACCUCAGCUUUCCAAAGUGGUGGGAUUACAGGCGUGAGCCACCGCGCCCAGCCUCGUCUUCUACUUUUAGGCCCACUUGGUUUCUACUUGAGAUACAGAAAAGAAGUGAUGGCGGACGGGAUAAUGCAAGCUAACCCCGCCAUUGAGGACAGUGAAAACAAAAUAGACACAUUUUGAAGACAUCUGCUUGAACACAGCUGGGUAAAAAGAGUGAAAAACUACCAAGAGUAGACAGAAAAGGAAGGUGAUUCUGACAUUUGGGGUCCUUUUGCCCUAGGGACAUUUGCUUUUAACAGAUCAGUUGAGCAAGUAUCAGCAAACUAUGUAAAGGGCCACAUAGUAAACAUUUUAAGACUUGAGAACAAUACGUAUUCUCUGUUCAGUAAUGUUCUGUUUCUCUUUCUCUGUCUCUCUUUUGUUACUAUCUUUUGGGUUUUUUUCCCCCAACUUUUUUUUUCAGAUGGAGUCUAGCUCGGUUGCUCAGGCUGGAGUGCAGUGGUGCAAUCUCGGCUCACUGCAGCUUCUGCCUCCUGGGUUCAAGCUAUUCUCCUCCCUCAGCCUCCCAAGUAAUGAAUUACAAGCAUGCACCACCACACCCAGCUAAUUUUUUGUAUUGUUAGUAGGGACGGGGUUUCACCAAGUUCAGGCUAAUCUUGAACUCCUGACCUCAAGUGAUUCACCCAUCGUGGCCUCCCAAAGUACUGAGAUUACAGGCAUGAGCCACCACAGCCUGCCCCCAACUUUUUAAAUAUGUAAAAACAUGGCCAGGCACAGAGAAAGAGAAACAGAACAUUACUUAACAGAAAAGACAUAUUGUUUUCAAGGCUUAAAAUGUUUACUAUGUGGCCCUUUACAUAGGGCCAUGCCUAUAAUCCCAGCACUUUGGGACACCAAGGCAGGAGGAUCGCUUGAGCCCAGGAAUUCAAGAUCAGCCUGGGUAACACAGUGAGACCCUGUCUCUACAAAAAAAAAUUUAAAAACAAAAAAAAUGAGGCCGGCCGCGGUGGCUCACGGCUGUAAUCCCAGCACUUUGGGAGGCCGAGGCGGGUGGAUCACAAGGUCGGGAGAUCGAGACCAUCCUGGUCAACAUGGUGAAACCCUGUCUCUACUAAAAAUACAAAAAAAUUAGCUGGGCACGGUGGCGCGUGCCUGUAAUCCCAGCCACUCAGGAGGCUGAGGCAGGAGAAUUGCCUGAACCCAGGAGGCGGAGGUUGCCGUGAGCCGAGAUCGCGCCAUUGCACUCCAGCCUGGGUAACGAGCGAAACUCCGCUUCAAAAAAAAAAAAAAAAAAGGCUAGGUGUGGUGGCAUGUGCCUACAGUCCCAACUACUCAGGAAGCCACAGUGCCCAAGGAGGUAAGGUACAAGAUUGUAAAUUUCAGCAAAAAAAAAAAAAAAAAAAAAAUCCGGGAGGCAGAGGUUGCAGUGAGCCAAGAUUGUGCCACUGCACUCCAGCCUGGGUAACAGAGAAACCCCAUCUCUGCAAAAAAAAAAAUUUUUAAUUAAAAAAAAAUUAACCAGGUAUGGUGGCAUGUGCCUAUAGUCCCAACUACUCAGGAAGCUAUAGUGCCCAAGGAGGUAAGAUACAAGAUUGGAAAUUUUGCAUGGGGAGAAAUGCCAGAUAUAGGUGAUGGGGAGGAAGGCAGCAAAUCACACUACCAUGUGUGUACCUAUGCAACAAUCUUGCAUGUUCUUCACAUGUACCCUAAAACCUAAAAUGCAAUUUAAAAAAAUAAAAUGUUGGCCAGGCAUGGUGGCUCACGCCUGUAAUCUCAGCAAUUUGGGAGGCAAGUGGAUCACCUGAGGUUGGGAGUUUGACCAGCCUGACCAACAUGGAGAAAAUUAAAUUUAUAUAAAUUUAUACCCAGGGCUGGAGUAGGAGAGAGUGGGAAGUUGUUAUUUAAUGUGCGUAGUUUUAAGUUUGCAAGAUGAAAAGCGUUCAGAGAUCAGUUGCAAAACAGGUCAAAUGUACUUUACUGACCUGUAUACUUAAAAACUGUUAAGAUGGGAAUUUUUUUUUUUUUUUCUGAGACGGAGUCUUGCUUUGUCACCCCGGCUAAAGUGCAGUGGCACAAUCUCAGCUCACUGCAACCUCCACCUCCCAGGUUCAAGUGAUUCUCCUGACUCAGCCUACCGAGUAGCUAGGAUUACAGGCACAUGCCACCAAGCCCAGCUAAUGUUUUGUAUUUUUAGUAGAGAUGGGGUUUCACCAUGUUGACCAGGAGGGUCUUGAUCUCCUGACAUCGUGAUCCGACCACCUCGGCCUCCCAAAGCGUGAGCCACUGCACCCAGCGGGAAAUUUUUUAUUAUACAUAUUUUACCACAAUUUACAAAAUUAAAAAAUUGAGACUGAGUACGGUGGCUCAAGCCUGUAAUCCCAAAACUUUGGGAGGCCAAGGUGGGCAGAUCAUCUGGCAUUAGGAGUUCAAAACCAGCCUGGCCAACAUAGUGAAACCCCAUCUCUACUAAAAAUACAAAAUACAAAAAAAAAAUUAGCCAGGAGUGGUGGUGUGCACCUGUAAUCCUAGCUACUCAGGAGGCUGAGGCAGAAGAAUCCCUUGAACCUGGGAGGUAGAGGUUGCAGUGAGCCAAGAUCAUGUCACUGCACCCCAGCCAGGGAAACAGAGCGAGACUCCAUUUUAUGUGUGUGUGUCUCCAAAAAAAAAAAAAAAAUUCAAAGACAAACCAUUCAAAGACUGACCAAAAUAAAGUAGGCUUUAGGGCAAACAGCAUUACUAGAAAUAAAGAAAGACACUGGAUAACGUUAAUAUUCUCAGUUCACCAAGAAGAUAUAACAGUUCUAAGUUUGUGUGUCACUGAUACACAUAGCUUCAAAAUAUAUAAAGCAAAAAAUGGUCCGAAUUGCAAGGAGCCAAAUCUACAAUUAUAGUGGAAGUUAUGUCUAUCAGUAACUGUUAAAAGAAGCAUAUACAAAAUUAGUAAGCAAUAGAUCUGAGCAACUGGGUAAGCAAACUUUAACCAAAUGGACAGAUCUAGAAUAGUGCACUCACAACUGCAGAUCCCAGAUUCUUUUCAAGUAUAUAUGGAAUGUUUAUGAAACGCUAGGCAAUAUAGCAAGUUCCAACAAAUUUCCAGUGAUGUAAAUCAUUCAGAGUACAUUCUCAGACAGUGACACAAUGAAGCCAAAAAAAAGAAUUUUAAAAAUUAAGUAGGAAAUAUCUACAUGUUCCAAAACUAUAUAUGUACUUGUAAAUAACUCACGGAUUAAAAAAAAAAUCGCAAUGGGAAUCAAAGUAUUUUAAACUGAUAGUUCAUAAAAAUAUUACAUCCUCAAAAUUGAGAUGCAGCUAAAGCCAUACUUCAAUGGCAAGGGUUUUUUUUGUUUUUUUUUGAGACGGGGUUUCGCUCUUGUUACCCAGGCUGGAGUGCAGUGGUGCGAUCUCGGCUCACCGCAACCUCUGCCUCCUGGGUUCAAGCAAUUCUCCUGCCUCAGCCUCCCGAGUAGCUGGGACUACAGGCACACACCACCACGCCCAGCAAAUUUUUGCAUUUUUAGUAGAGACAAGGUUUCACCAUGUUGACCAGGAUGGUCUCGAUCUCUUGACCUUGUGAUCCACCUGCCUCAGCCUCCCAAAGUGCUGGGAUUACAGGCGUGAGCCACUGCGCCCAGCAGCAAUGGCAAGUUUUUAAUUAAAGUAUUUUUAAUGCCAAUAUUAGAAAAUAAGAGAGAAUGAAAUAAGAGUAAAGUCCUCUUGUUGAGAAAUUAGAAAAUUAAGCACAAAGAAAGUGCAAAGAAAUGAAAACAUAGGCAAAAGUUAAUUCUUUGAGAGGCCCAAUAAAAUUAAGCCCAUGGUAAAUCUUUUGUUUUGUUUUGUUUUGUUUGUUUGGAGACAGAGUUUCACUCUGUUGCCCAGGCUGGAGUGCAGUAGUGUGGUCUGGCCUCACUGCAGCCUCUGCCUCCCAGGUUCAAGUGAUUCUCAUGCCUCAGCUUCCCAAAUAGCUAAGAUUACAGGAGCGUGCCACCAUGCCCAGCUAAUUUUUGGUGAAACCCCAUGUCUACUAAAAAUACAAAAAAUUAGCCAGGUGUAGUGGUGCAUGCCUGUGGUCCCAGCUACAGCAGAGGCUAAGGCACGAGUAUUGCUUAAACCCGGGAAGCAGAGGUUGCAGUGAGCAGAGAUCAUACCUCUGAACUCCAACCUGGGCAACAGAGUGAGACCUUGUCUCCAAAACACCGGAAAGAAAGAAACCUGACCUCCACAAAGAACAAUUAAUUCCAGAUGGGUCAUAGAUUUAAAUGUGUAAGAAAAAACAACAAAGCUCCUCAAACAGUACAAACCAAGAGCAAAUGAAAGUAUUUGAUGAUAUGUGCUUUAAUACAGGCAACUGAGGGAUUUUAAAAUUUUUGUUUCAUUUAAAUUCAUUUCUGUUUAAAUAGCCACAAAUGGCUACCAUAUUGAGUACCACAGAAUUAGAAGAUAAUAUUAAAAUAUCUUUGUGACCUAGGAAAGAAUUAUUAAACAGGACACAAAAAUCAAUAACCAAAAAGAAUAAAAAAAUUAAUUUGACUACAUUGAAAUUAAGAAAUUCUGUACACUACAAAACAUUAUUAAAAGAGUACAACUUCAUGUCACAAGUGGAAAAGGAUAUUUACAGCACGUAUAACAAAGGGUUUAGAUCUGGAAUAUAUAAAGGAUUGUAACAUAUCAAUAAAGAAAAAAAACCAGAUAAAUGCCAUCAACAGGUAAUUCAGCAGAAAAGUUAUCCAAAUGACCAAUAAGGGUGUUGGAAAGUGCUCAACCUCACUCAUAAGCAAAUACAAAUACAAAUUAAAAUCAUGAGAUAGCAGCACAACCCAGCAGAAGGGCUAAAAUUUAAAAGGCUGACAAUACAGAGAAGUGGUAAGGAUGUAGAGCAAUGGAAUCCGAAAUACAGCUGAGUCAGUUUAAACUGGUAUAACCGGCCAGGUGCAUGGCUCACACGUGUAAUCCCAGCACUUUGGACGACCGAGGCAGGCAGAUCUCCUGAGUUCAGGAGUUCAACACCAGCCUGGCCAACAUAGCGAAACCCAUCUCUACUAAAAAAAAAAAUAGGCAGGCAUGGUGGUGUGUGCCUAUAAUCCCAGUUACUGGAGGGGCUGAGGCUAGAGAAUUGCUUGAACCUGGGAGGCGGAGAUUGCAAUGAGCCGAGAUUGCACCACUGCACUCUAGCCUGAGCAACUGAGCGAGACUCUGAAAAAAAAAAAAAAAAAAAAAAAAAAAAUUGGUAUAACCACUUUGGAAAACUGUUUGCCAGUAUCUGUUGAUGUUGAAUAUCCUCUAUAACCCAGCAAUUUCACUCCAGGAAUUAUGUGAACUUGUGUCUCAAAAGACAUGAGUAUUUGUAUUAGAAUAUGGGUGUUCGUAGCAGUAUGAAUCGUAGUAGACAAAAGUUGGAGGCAGACCCAGAUGUACUUCAGCAGUGGAAUAAGCAAACCUCCACAUUCAUACCAUGAAUUACCCCACAGCAGGCAAGGAGUGGUGGCUCCUGCCUGUAAUCCCAGCACUUUGAGAGGCCUAGACAGUCAGAUCACUUGAGGCCAGGGGUUCAAGCCCAGCAUGGCCAACAUAGCAAAACCCCAUCUCUACUAAAAAAUACCAAAAUUAGCAGGGUAUUUUUUGGUGGAAUACACACCUGUAAUUCCAGCUACUUAGGAGGCUGAUGGAGGAGAAUUGCUUGAACCCGGGAGGUGGAGGCUGCAGUGAUCUGAGAUUGUUCCACUGCACUCCAGCCUGGACAACAGAACGAGACCCCAUCUCAAAAAAAAAGGGCUAACAAACUUAACUACAGCAUUGACAGACACAUGCUUAGCAAGGAGACAACUGCCGUAAAAUUUAGGACCGUGGUUGCCUCCAAAAGGAGAUAGGAAGCAUGAGUGAGGGUCCGAGUGAGGGUCCGAUGGUACAUUUCUUGACCUGAUGUUUUGUGACAUGGCUCUUUGCUGUGUGAUAAAGUAAUGAGGUAUCUCUGUUUCAUACACUUUUCUGUAGUAUGUCAUAUUUCACAAUAAGGAAAGGCUAAAGGAAGGCCAGGUGUGGUGGCUCACGCCUGUAAUCCCAACACAUUGGGAGACUGAGGCAGGUGGAUUAUUUGAGGUCAGGAGUACAAGACCUGCCUGGCCAAGAUGGUGAAACCCCGUUUCUACUAAAAAUACAAAAACUGAAUGGGCAUGGUGGCACACGCCUGUAUUCCCAGCUACUCGGGAGGCUGAGGUAGGAGAAUCGCUUGAACCUGGGCGGCAGAGGUUGCAGUGAGCCAAGAUCGUGCCACUGCACUCCAGCCUGGGCGACAGCAACACUCCAUCUCAAAAAAAUAAAAUAAAAUUUUAAAAAUAAAAAUGUGAAACACAGUGGGUAUGUUUAACAAAGAAGCUGCUCUAUAUUUGUCUCCUUCCUAAUGAAAUCAGGACCCUUUCUCAAAGGAAGUAAGAAGUUUGCAGCGUUUCUGGCCUCCCCAGACGUAUCAAGUGGCUGCUUCUGGCUUCUCAGUACACUUUCAAUCCACCACUUUUCUUUCUCUCUCCUAGUCAGAUGUGCUCUGUGUGUGUGUAUGUGUGUACAUGUGAGUGAGCGUGUGUGUGAAUGUGUCCGAGAGAGCAUGAGUGUGUCAAUGUUUGCAUGUAUGUGUGAGCAUGUGUUUGUGUGUGGAUGAGUGUGUGUAAAUGUUUACAUCUCUGUGAAGAUGUAUGAGUGUGUGCAAACAUGCAUAUGUGUGGAUGAGUGUGUUUACAUCUGUGUGUUAAUGUGUAUGUAUUGUGUGUGAAUGUGCAUGUGUGUGUGAAUGUAGGUGUGAAUGCGAGUGUGAAUGUAUGUGUGUGUGACUGGAUGAGUGUGUGUGCGUUUACAUCUUUGUGUUAUGUGAACGUGCAUGUGUGUGUGACGUGUGGGAAUGGGUGUGAAUGUGUGUAGGAGUGUGUUUGAGUGUGUUUAUGUGUGUGACCGUGUAUGUGUUGUGUGUGAACGUAGGUGUGAAUGUGAGUGCGUGAGUGAAUGUAUAUGGAUGUGUGUGUGGAGUGUGUUUACAUCUGUGUGUGAACGUGUAUGUGUUGUGUGAAUGUGAGUGAAUGUGAUGUAUGAGUGUGUGCAUGUUUAUAUUUGUGUGUGUAUGUGAAUGUGUGUGUGUGUGUGUGUUUAUAUGCACACCCGCCUGCGUGGCUCAGCCUCUGCCCUGGCCCUCUGGCCGCUGCAUCCUCUCCCACGGUGCAUCGUCUGCUGACUCUGUAGCCCUGCAGGCCUUCCUCGAACAGUCCAUGACAGGAAGCCAGGCUUCCUGGGGUCCUGAGUCAGCAGAGCAGGAAGGAAACAAAGGCCUCAGAACCGCAGAAGAGAAAAAAGGAGCCUGAAGACAGAAGGCGGCCCUCUGAAGACAGGGCUAGAGACCACGUAUGUUCUUGGAGUCCCCUUGCCUGAAAGUGAAGCGCAAACCCUGAGUCACACUCUAUCAUCUGACCUGUCUGACCUCAGCCUUUCUCUGCUGCAGUUUCUUUGCCUGUGAAAUAGGGAAUGGCCUUCCCAGGGAUUGAGGGAUCACAGGCUUCUCAAACUGCGACUUGGAUAGGGUAUCUCUUCAGUAGAAAAAUUCAAUGAGGUUUCUCUCACCUUCUACCUAUGGGCCAGUUACAUACAGAAGAGAAAACUAAAACUGAAAACUGAUUUGUGAUUUUUACAAAAAGUCGCUGAGAAGGAGAAUUCCCAGUACAGAAUGGAACAUGGCUGCUCAAGCAAUUCACAGCCUCUCUUGCAGUGAGAAAUUGUCCUGGAACAGGCUGGGCAUGGUGGCUCUAGCACUUUGGGAGGCCACGAUAGGUGGAUCACCGGAGGUCAGGAGUUCGAGACCAGCCUAACCAACAUGGAGAAACCCCAUCUCUACUAAAAAUACAAAAUUAGCCGGACAUGGUGGCACAUACCUGUCAUCCCAGCUACUCGGGAGGCUGAGGCAGGAGAAUCGCUUGAACCCGGGAGGCAGAGGUUGCAGUGAGCUGAGAUGGGGCCAUUGCACUCCAACCUAGGCAACAAGAGCAAAACUCCAUCUCAAAAGAAAAGAAAAAAAGAAAUUGUUCUGGAACAAAGAGUUGCAACCAAAACCAUUGUGUGCAUUGUCCAGAAAAUGUCCUUUAAAAAGGGUUAUGGGCACUGUCUUUUACUCCUUCCUAUUUCCUACUGGGUAGAAUAUGCAUGUGCAGUCUGAAGCUUGAGCAGCCAGCUUGGAUUGUGAGGCUGUGUGCUAAGCACAUCAGAACAUUAAAACUAGACGUGUUGGCCUGGCGUGGUGGCUCACACCUGUAAUGCCAGCACUUUGGGAGACCAAGGCAGAUAGAUCACCUGAGGUCAGGAGUUUGAGAACAGCCUGGCCAACAUGGUGAAACCCUGUCUUUACUAAAAAUACAAAAAUUAGCUGGGCAUGGUAUUGUGCACCUGUAGUCCCAGCUAUUCGGGAGGCUGAGGCAGGAGAAUGACUUGAACCAGGGAGAUGGAGGUUGCAGUGAGCAGAGAUGCAGUCUGGCCAACAAGAGUGAAACUCUAUCUCAAAAAAAAAAAAAAAAAAAAAACAAAACUAGAGGUCUCGGGCACAGUGGCACAUGCCUAUAAUCCCAGCACUUUGGGAGGCUGAGAUGGGCAGAUCACUUGAGGCCAGGUGUUCAAGACCAGCCUGGCCAACAUGAUGAAACCCCAUCUCUACUAAAAAAAAAUUUUUUU